Bos taurus (domestic cattle) is the source of this 1457-nucleotide long non-coding RNA. NCBI's taxonomy places the organism in Eukaryota, Metazoa, Chordata, Mammalia, Artiodactyla, Bovidae. The record is from Ensembl.
GAAGAAGUAAACCUUUUAUUAAAUGCAGAUGCUAUACUUUUAUAAACAGAAAAUCUUUAGAAAAUACAUACAGAUAAAUUUUAGGAUCGAUAAAGAAGGUUAGCAAAGUCAUGUCAUACAAGGUCUAUAUACAAAAGUGUUUCUAUGAUAACAGAAAAGCAAAAACAAAUGAAAGACACAAAAGAAAAGGAAAUAGCUACCACUCCAGUACUCUUGCCUGGAGAAUCCCAUGGGCGGAGGAGCCUGGUGGGCUAGGCGCCCAUGGGGUCGCUAAGAGUCGGACACGACUGAGCGACUUCACUUUCACUUUUCACUUUCAUGCAUUGGAGAAGGAAAUGGCAACCCACUCCAGGGUUCUUGCCUGGAGAAUCCCAGGGACAGGGGAGCCUGGUGGGCUGCCGUCUAUGGGGUCGCACAGAGUCAGACAUGACUGAAGCGACUUAGCAGCAGCUGCAGCAGACACAAAUAAAUACAUAUUAUAGAAUCCCAGUUUGUUAAUAGUUCAAAAAGCAAAAAUGCCCAAAGUGUAUUAUCAGAAGUCAUGGUAAUUACUUUUAGGAAGGCUGCAGGGGCACGACAGGUCCUUAUAGAGAGCUGACAACACUGUUUCUUGGUCUACAUGGUAGUCACACAGAUGUUCACUUCAUGAUAUAAUUGAGUUGUACCUUUGUUAUUUUCACUUCACAUCUCCUUCACGAAGAGGACCCUGCUGUUGCCUCCGGCCAGAAGGUGAGCACAGAAGAGACAUGCUUGCACAGGACUGCCGCACAGGGGUGAGGUGACCGGGCUCCUGGCCGCCUUCCCGGAGCUUUAGGGAAGAGAGGACCAGGAGACACUCUGCCAGCCUUCUGCGGGACGCGCUCAGGGAGUGAGAGCCGGUCUCCUCGCAGGUGUUGCCCUGGGAUAAAUACGGGGCAUCCUUGAUUGCAGGUGUGCAGGGUUGUCAAUCACCAUCAGUCAUGGGCUCACAGAAAUGAGCAGAGUUUCUCAGAGAAAUGGUAUCUCGUUUCCCUAACCCCUCUGGCAGUUCUGCACGAAGGCAGAUAUUGGCCUUACCAUAGAAGCCUGCAGUUACAGGGCUUAGACAAGAAUGUGGGUCCUUUCUGCUGUGGUCACUCAGCUGAGAAAUAAGCUUUCUGGGCUUGCAGGCUUCUUCACAUUAGAGACUUCAACAGCAGAAAGAUGACUUUCUGCUUUUGGGGUGGUGGCGUGUCCUGGGCAGGCUGCCGGUUCCUUCUUCGAUUAUGAUUUUUCUUUAGAGGAGCAAAUACAUAGGUGGUCAAAUAGAAACACAUGUGCAUUCAUUUGCCUUGUGUAUUGACAACACGUUUGCUGGUGAACAGUGACUACCGGGAGGGCCGUGCUAUGAAGAUGAUCAAACUGAGGCAUGGAGGUUAAAUAAUUUGCCCAAGGCCACAGAGCUGCCGCAGAGCUAGUUUUGACUCUAGCAGCUAUUC